This 1192-nucleotide ribosomal RNA is filed under the name uncultured Bacteroides sp. RNAcentral describes it as "bacterial SSU rRNA". It matches the Rfam family "Bacterial small subunit ribosomal RNA", at positions 295 to 1499 of the family's 1533-position model. The record is from RNAcentral. Lineage: Bacteria; Pseudomonadati; Bacteroidota; Bacteroidia; Bacteroidales; Bacteroidaceae.
AGAGGAAGGUCCCCCACAUUGGAACUGAGACACGGUCCAAACUCCUACGGGAGGCAGCAGUGAGGAAUAUUGGUCAAUGGGCGAGAGCCUGAACCAGCCAAGUAGCGUGAAGGAUGACUGCCCUAUGGGUUGUAAACUUCUUUUAUAAAGGAAUAAAGUCGGGUAUGGAUACCCGUUUGCAUGUACUUUAUGAAUAAGGAUCGGCUAACUCCGUGCCAGCAGCCGCGGUAAUACGGAGGAUCCGAGCGUUAUCCGGAUUUAUUGGGUUUAAAGGGAGCGUAGAUGGAUGUUUAAGUCAGUUGUGAAAGUUUGCGGCUCAACCGUAAAAUUGCAGUUGAUACUGGAUAUCUUGAGUGCAGUUGAGGCAGGCGGAAUUCGUGGUGUAGCGGUGAAAUGCUUAGAUAUCACGAAGAACUCCGAUUGCGAAGGCAGCCUGCUAAGCUGCAACUGACAUUGAGGCUCGAAAGUGUGGGUAUCAAACAGGAUUAGAUACCCUGGUAGUCCACACGGUAAACGAUGAAUACUCGCUGUUUGCGAUAUACGGCAAGCGGCCAAGCGAAAGCGUUAAGUAUUCCACCUGGGGAGUACGCCGGCAACGGUGAAACUCAAAGGAAUUGACGGGGGCCCGCACAAGCGGAGGAACAUGUGGUUUAAUUCGAUGAUACGCGAGGAACCUUACCCGGGCUUAAAUUGCAGAUGAAUUACGGUGAAAGCCGUAAGCCGCAAGGCAUCUGUGAAGGUGCUGCAUGGUUGUCGUCAGCUCGUGCCGUGAGGUGUCGGCUUAAGUGCCAUAACGAGCGCAACCCUUGUUGUCAGUUACUAACAGGUUUCGCUGAGGACUCUGACAGGACUGCCAUCGUAAGAUGUGAGGAAGGUGGGGAUGACGUCAAAUCAGCACGGCCCUUACGUCCGGGGCUACACACGUGUUACAAUGGGGGGUACAGAGGGCCGCUACCACGCGAGUGGAUGCCAAUCCCAAAAACCUCUCUCAGUUCGGACUGGGGUCUGCAACCCGACUCCACAAAGCUGGAUUCGCUAGUAAUCGCGCAUCAGCCACGGCGCGGUGAAUACGUUCCCGGGCCUUGUACACACCGCCCGUCAAGCCAUGGGAGCCGGGGGUACCUGAAGUGCGUAACCGCGAGGAGCGCCCUAGGGUAAAACUGGUGACUGGGGCUAAGUCGUAACAAGGUAA